Molecule: long non-coding RNA, 442 nt
Organism: Dreissena polymorpha
Lineage: Eukaryota; Metazoa; Mollusca; Bivalvia; Myida; Dreissenidae
Exons: 3
Source: RefSeq, a predicted model, not a curated record
UUGUGAUUCAUUUUGAGAUUUUAAAAUCAUUUGGCACAUUUGUUCACCAUCAUUAGACGUUGUGUCGCGCGAAAGAAUCACGUCGAUUUCUCCAAGGUCAAGAUCGCCACAACUAAAAAUAGAUUGAUUUUGAAACAACUAUGUAACUAUGAACAAUCAGUAACAAUGCACAUUUUGAUUUUGAGUUGUCUCUCUUUAUCAGCCUUUUUUUAUGCCCCCCUUCAAAGAAGAGGGGGUAUAUUGUUUUGCACAUGUCGGUCGGUCCUUCGGUCGGUCCGUCCACCAGAUGGUUUCCGGAUGAUAACUCAAGAACGCUUAGGCCUAGGAUCAUGACACUUCAUAGGUACAUUGAUCAUGACUGGCAGAUGACCCCUAUUGAUUUUCAGGUCACUAGGUCAAAGGUCAAGGUCACAGUGACUCGAAACAGUAAAAUGGUUUCCGG